This 422-nucleotide ribosomal RNA is filed under the name uncultured Weeksellaceae bacterium. RNAcentral describes it as "bacterial SSU rRNA". It matches the Rfam family "Bacterial small subunit ribosomal RNA", at positions 355 to 774 of the family's 1533-position model. The record is from RNAcentral. Lineage: Bacteria; Pseudomonadati; Bacteroidota; Flavobacteriia; Flavobacteriales; Weeksellaceae.
UGAGGAAUAUUGGACAAUGGGUGAGAGCCUGAUCCAGCCAUCCCGCGUGAAGGAUUAAGGACCUAUGGUUUGUAAACUUCUUUUCUACAGGGAUAAACCUACUUACGUGUAAGUAGCUGAAGGUACUGUAGGAAUAAGCACCGGCUAACUCCGUGCCAGCAGCCGCGGUAAUACGGAGGGUGCAAGCGUUAUCCGGAUUUAUUGGGUUUAAAGGGUCCGUAGGCGGGCCGGUAAGUCAGUGGUGAAAUCUCACAGCUCAACUGUGAAACUGCCGUUGAUACUGCCGGUCUUGAGUAAAUUUGAAGUGGCUGGAAUAAGUAGUGUAGCGGUGAAAUGCAUAGAUAUUACUUAGAACACCAAUUGCGAAGGCAGGUCACUAAGAUUAAACUGACGCUGAUGGACGAAAGCGUGGGGAGCGAACA